UACGGAGGGAGCUAGCGUUGUUCGGAUUUACUGGGCGUAAAGCGCACGUAGGCGGCUCAGCAAGUCAGGGGUGAAAUCCCGGGGCUCAACCCCGGAACUGCCCUUGAAACUGCUAAGCUAGAAUCUUGGAGAGGCGAGUGGAAUUCCGAGUGUAGAGGUGAAAUUCGUAGAUAUUCAGAAGAACACCAGUGGCGAAGGCGACUCGCUGGACAAGUAUUGACGCUGAGGUGCGAAAGCGUGGGGAGCAAACAGG
This 253-nucleotide ribosomal RNA is filed under the name uncultured bacterium. RNAcentral's name for it is "partial 16S ribosomal RNA". It matches the Rfam family "Bacterial small subunit ribosomal RNA", at positions 524 to 776 of the family's 1533-position model. The record is from RNAcentral.